UUAGGAUUACACCCACCGUGUAUGCAAUCUCACAAAUAAGGAAAUAAAUUGGCAUUUUUAUAGUCUCUCAAAACAGUGUGUUUUGAUGAAUUAUUUUUACAUUUUUUUUAACAAUUAUUUUGGCCCGUAUCAAACCGAUUUGGAGCUUGUUUUCGGCCAAUUUUGUACUGAAUCGAAAACCCAAAAAAAAAAAAAAAAAAAAAAAAGUUCAGCCACGGACGUACCCACAUCCAUGGCUACACGGUGCGUAUCCGACUCGAGUGCAUCGACCCAAUCAGCACACCCGUGCUUCGUAGACAAGAGCACAACCACAUGAUCAGAUUUUUAUUACUACAAGAGCCAAUUUUAAGUGGAUAGCCUUGCCUCCUUGUGCCCCUGCCCUUGCCCGUGCCCCUACUGCCUCCCCUGUUGCUGCCGCUGCCCCCACUCCCACUGCUACCCCCUAUUACUGCCGCUGCCAUUGCCACUGCCUUGCCCCUGCUGAUUAGCUUAUUAGGGAAUUGGGGACAGAUGGUUUUUUAUGAAUAAAUUUGUGUAGUAGUUUGUUUGGGAUUGAUAUUUCUCAUAUUACUUGUUUGAUAUCACGUUAUGACUAAUAUGCUAUUAUGCUCACUGAAACAAUAUAGCUAUUGAGUUAUUUAUU
Quercus robur (English oak) is the source of this 643-nucleotide long non-coding RNA. RefSeq lists it as uncharacterized. Lineage: Eukaryota; Viridiplantae; Streptophyta; Magnoliopsida; Fagales; Fagaceae. The transcript has 2 exons. The record is from RefSeq and is a predicted model, not a curated record.